GACGAACGCUGGCGGCGUGCUUAACACAUGCAAGUCGAACGGAAAGGCCCUGCGUUUGUGGGGUACACGAGUGGCGAACGGGUGAGUAACAGGUGUGUAACCUGCCAUUACCUUUGGGAAAAUUUCAGGAAACUGGGGAUAAUCCCGGAUAGGAGCUCCUAUUUCAUGGAGGGGGGUGGCACGUUUCGGCGGCUGGGGAUGGACUCGCGGCUUGUCCGCUUGGUGGUGGGGUAGUGGCUUACCAAGGCUUUGACGGGUAGCCGGCCUGGUAGGGUGACCGGCCACGCUAGGACUGGGCUACGACCCAGACUCCAACGGGAGGCAACGGUGGGGAAGGGAAUACAAGGGGCGGAAGCCUGAUGCGGCAACGCCGCGUGGGGGGAGACGGCAUUCGGUUAGUGAACCGCUUCCGCUUGUGACGGGGCGUUAGUGACGGUAAUGGGUAAAGAAGCACCGGCUAACUACGUG
This 468-nucleotide ribosomal RNA is filed under the name uncultured bacterium. RNAcentral describes it as "partial 16S ribosomal RNA". It matches the Rfam family "Bacterial small subunit ribosomal RNA", at positions 28 to 507 of the family's 1533-position model. The record is from RNAcentral.